UAUCACAGCCAUAUUACCCUGAAACCCAAGAGCGGUUACUCACUGAAGCUAAGCAGGGCUGAGCCUGGUCAGUACCUGGAUGGGAGACCACUAGGGAACACUAGGUUGCUGUUUGAA
Molecule: ribosomal RNA, 117 nt
Filed under: Danio rerio (zebrafish)
Lineage: Eukaryota; Metazoa; Chordata; Actinopteri; Cypriniformes; Danionidae
Source: RNAcentral